AUAACGCAUGUUCCGGGAACAUCAACAAUCAACCGAAUAUCUUCAGUCAAACAGAUGAAUCACUCAACCCAUUCAACGAUGGAGAUAGUUUUGCUCUAAUUAGACGGGACAUCAAUGAAAAAAUGGAACUUACAGAGUUGCUCAACAAGUGGGAAAUUCUAAAGACGCAAGAUGGACUCUUCGAACACUUUAAGAAUCUAACAGAAACUGACAUCCAAACUAUGACUCCAAAGCUCAGGGAUAAAUACAGUUAUGAUUUACUUUGCAUGCAUGAAGAAAGAAUUCGAAGGACAAAAAGACCUGGAGAAAUUGAUAAAAGCGAUUUGCCACUAUUUCAAGGAAGAUGCUGACACAAUUUUGCAACACCAAGAGAUCAAUUCGCAAAAUCUCAUGACGUCACAUCCUGGGGUUUAUAUUAUAGAAAACACAGGAGAUCACAUGAUAUUCUACAAAGGGCAGGAGAUUCAGAAAGGAGCAAAUAACUGGGAAGCGUUUGAA
Long non-coding RNA from Phlebotomus papatasi, 498 nucleotides. RefSeq lists it as uncharacterized. The transcript has 3 exons. The record is from RefSeq and is a predicted model, not a curated record. NCBI's taxonomy places the organism in Eukaryota, Metazoa, Arthropoda, Insecta, Diptera, Psychodidae.